CCUACGGGUGGCAGCAGUGAGGCAUAUUGGUCAAUGGACGAGAGUCUGAACCAGCCAAGUAGCGUGAAGGAUGACUGCCCUAUGGGUUGUAAACUUCUUUUAUAUGGGAAUAAAACGUUCCACGUGUGGGAUUUUGUAUGUACCAUAUGAAUAAGGAUCGGCUAACUCCGUGUCAGCAGCCGCGGUAAUACGGAGGAUCCGAGCGUUAUCCGGAUUUAUUGGGUUUAAAGGGAGCGUAGGUGGAUUGGUAAGUCAGUUGUGAAAGUUUGCGGCUCAACCGUAAAAUUGCAGUUGAAACUGGCAGUCUUGAGUACAGGAGAGGUGGGCGGAAUUCGUGGUGUAGCGGUGAAAUGCUUAGAUAUCAGGAAGAACACCAGUGGCGAAGGCGGAUGACUGGACGGCAACUGACGGUGAGGCGCGAAAGCGUGGGGAGCAAACAGGAUUAGAUACCCUUGUAGUC
Molecule: ribosomal RNA, 460 nt
Filed under: uncultured bacterium
Lineage: Bacteria
Description: partial 16S ribosomal RNA
Rfam family: Bacterial small subunit ribosomal RNA
Source: RNAcentral